Theileria equi strain WA is the source of this 74-nucleotide non-coding RNA. The record is from Rfam. NCBI's taxonomy places the organism in Eukaryota, Apicomplexa, Aconoidasida, Piroplasmida, Theileriidae.
GGAAUUAUAGUUUAAUUUGAUUAAAAUAUUACAGUGUCGUAGUAAAGAUAUGAGUUUGAGUCUCAUUAGUUCCG